GACUCCGUAGCUCAGUUGGCAGAGCAAUUGACUCUUAAUCAAUGGGUCGAGGGUUCGAGCCCCUCCGGGGUCA
Molecule: transfer RNA, 73 nt
Filed under: Paludibacteraceae bacterium
Lineage: Bacteria; Pseudomonadati; Bacteroidota; Bacteroidia; Bacteroidales; Paludibacteraceae
Description: tRNA-Lys
Rfam family: tRNA
About the family: Transfer RNA (tRNA) molecules are approximately 80 nucleotides in length. Their secondary structure includes four short double-helical elements and three loops (D, anti-codon, and T loops).
Source: RNAcentral